GGUGACGUCACCACGAGCGCGAGAAGUCGAACUGAGGAGCAGAAAGCGUUGUUAGUGUUAGUUCUGGCCCGUUUGGACCCAAACUAAAGUGUAUCAGUAUGAAGCAGGCGGUGACGGCGCACUGAUUCACUCUCGGAGCUCGGUUCACUAAUGACCGAAUCACCGUGGAACCGACCAAAGAUAACUCACACCCGCACGGAGAAGAAGAACAAGAGGAGGAGAAGAUGAGCUGGAGUGGGGCAAAGAGAACUGCAUUCAGAUCAAACGGAUACAAGAGAAGUGGCCGAGUUGUUUGAGGAUUUAAAGAAUUGAGUGUCACAAUUCAACAUGCACAUCAGCGAAACUUUUCCCUCUGACUACACCAGCACCCACGCACAGAAAUUCAUAGUGCAGGUGGCGAUUGCAGGCGCAUUUUAUCCGAACUGCUUCCUCCAGGGAACUGUGGACGAGGAGCUCGCCUCCAAGGAACUCUAUGGAAACGACCCCAGGACCACCAUAGUGUGUGUAAUCUCCCUCCAUUUGCAUUCCUCUACUAUAAACAGCUCCAGUCUCUCUUCAGACACUGUGGUUAAAUCAAAUCCAUCUCCUUUGACAGCUCCAGGGCCUAUGUAGAGUUCUACCGCUCGUCAAUGAGAGGUUCUGGCGUUCUCCCAGAGGUCUCUCUGUCUCUCCUCCUCACGCAGCAGAGACUUCCUCUCCAUCUCAACGUUUAACCCGCUGAAGAGGUGGAGACUUGGGCAGGGGGGUAGUGUAUCUCACACCUCAGAUAUACACGGGUGAAUGUGGAUUUUCAGAAUCAGUCAGUGAGCCCUGUCGGGGUUCUGAGCAGCUCCAUUGAGUUGGAGAAUCUUCCGUCUAACCCUGUCUUUAUCGUCAAUAUCACCGAGGUGUCUGUUCCGCCUCUUUCACUUUCAGUGCACAAAUAAAAAAGAAGCAGUGGCUCCUGUGUGUGUGUGUGUGUGUGUGUGUGUGUGUGUGCACACUAACAGGAGGUCCAGGUGCAGCCUUUGGAUAUUGAUGAAGAUUUACUGCCCCUGCAAGACCUUCCUCGACUGCGUAGUCUGGAGCAAAGGAUACAACAGAGCCCAGAUUACAAGCAAAAUCUGGUAAACUGUUUGGCGCUUAUUGACGGGGUGUAUGUGCGUGACUGCACCUGGCGCAUAUUGAAGAGGGUGAUUGCUAACUCCCUGGCAAAGAAUCUCAAUUGGAGGGGAGUCGAUGGAAAGACUUCACUGUCCGCUCUCCAACUCGGAGA
Ictalurus punctatus (channel catfish) is the source of this 1255-nucleotide long non-coding RNA. RefSeq lists it as uncharacterized. The record is from RefSeq and is a predicted model, not a curated record. The transcript is spliced from 9 exons. Lineage: Eukaryota; Metazoa; Chordata; Actinopteri; Siluriformes; Ictaluridae.